RNAcentral lists this unclassified non-coding RNA (201 nucleotides) under uncultured Pleosporales. RNAcentral describes it as "sequence contains ITS1". The record is from RNAcentral. Lineage: Eukaryota; Fungi; Ascomycota; Dothideomycetes; Pleosporales.
UUAUGCGCACUAUGCGCGCUGGUGGGCUGGUUUUGUGGAGAUCGAGAACUCCCUCACAGGGAAGCCCUCUCUCCUGCCCGCCCUGUCUGAAUAUACCCAUGAUUUUUGCGUACCCAUUGUUUCCUCGGCAGGCUUGCUUGCCAGUAGGACAUUUUUCAACCUUUUGUAAUUGCAGUCAGCGUCAGAAAAACUUAAUAGUUA